This 458-nucleotide long non-coding RNA is filed under the name Parus major (Great Tit). RNAcentral's name for it is "lncRNA (ENSPMJG00000008066.1)". The record is from RNAcentral. Lineage: Eukaryota; Metazoa; Chordata; Aves; Passeriformes; Paridae.
UGUGCAGGUGAACAUUCCCAAUUCCCUCAGCCUUUCCUCUUGGGAGAAGUGCUCCAUUCCUCUGUGCUAAAACCUUCCCAGAACUCCAAAUAAUGAAGUGUUUAGACCUCAUGCCUUCAGUUCCCAUCUAACACAGCCGUGGGCAUGCUCUGACCCACGGGUGUGUGCAGGAUGAUUUGGAAUCCAAUUCUUUCUGUCUUUGCAGGAGCUGCUCGUGGCCAGCUCCAGAGCUGUUGGGGCUCAGCAGCGAUGCCAGUGGGAUGGGAGGCUGGCACCAGCAGCUCUGAUCUGGAUCCUGUGAGUCUGAGAGAAGCAGUGCCAAAGGAUUACGAGUCCUUUAGCCCAUUGCGCUGGGUGGGAAGGAAAAUCAAGGUACAGAGAUUUUAUUGAAUUAGUAUUUGAGGACUAAUUAUUAAAAUGGCUUUUGAUGGAUGAGCUGUGAGUCAUGUUGGUCUGGC